RNAcentral lists this microRNA precursor (127 nucleotides) under Myotis brandtii (Brandt's bat). Its description in RNAcentral is "mir-9193 microRNA precursor family". The record is from Rfam by way of RNAcentral. Lineage: Eukaryota; Metazoa; Chordata; Mammalia; Chiroptera; Vespertilionidae.
AGUGCACCGGUGGGGUCCCUCGGCCUGGCCUGUGACCUCUCGCAAUGCAGGACCCCUAGGGGCAUGUCAGAGAGCCAGUUUCAGCCCGAUCCUUGCAGGCCAGGCCGAGGGACCCCACCAGUGCACA